This 5772-nucleotide long non-coding RNA is filed under the name Medicago truncatula (barrel medic). RNAcentral's name for it is "lncRNA gene20732". The record is from RNAcentral. Lineage: Eukaryota; Viridiplantae; Streptophyta; Magnoliopsida; Fabales; Fabaceae.
GUGGACAUAAAUAAAUGAUAUUCAUUUAUUGAAAUUGAUAGAGUACAUUAAUACAAUGCAAAUUUGCUAAAAACAACGAGAUGAAUUUGCGAACAAACUCACAUCAUCCAUGUUAAUAGCAUAAAACGACAAAGUACGAACGCCUACACACAUGACUAUAUUAAAGUCUCUGGAAUACCCAUGUCUAUGUCUCUGGAUCAGCAACGUGGAGGACAUCAAAGUCGUUGAUUGAAUUUGCAUUGGAUCGAAACCAAUAUGACAAUCUGAACCGAACCAAUACCUGAGCAAAACAAGAAAGACAAACAGCGCCACACAAAGACGACAAACACUCCCACGUCGCACUAAGACGACGAAAUCACAAAAUAAAAGAACGAAAUAAAUGUGGAAAUCACUUAUUUUAAUAAGAAAGGAAAGAGAAAAACGAGAUACAGAGGUGAUUUUGGAUCAAAAAUUGACCUUAAAUCACCCCUCUUUAUUGAUGAAGAAGAAGAAACUAGAGUUUUGGUGACGACAUACAAGAAAAGAAAUGAAAAAGAGACUAGAGUACACUUCUGUUUUGAAAACACAAAACAACAACAACAACAAAUUCAAGAUUAAUGACCAAGCUCACACAGUAUUAUUGGUGGUCAUGAUGACAUGCAUCAACCAAUAAUUCUAUUAUGUUGAAGAAACUUCCUAAACCACCGGGCAGAGAGCUUAGGGUGUCUUGUAAGAUGACCAUUCUCAUAAUCAACAAAGUUAAUUCCAAAACGCACAGUGUAUCCGUCAUUCCAUUCAAAGUUGUCCAAAAGGGACCAUGCAAAAUAUCCUUGUACCUUCACACCUUGCCUUCACACAAGAAACAAAAAAAAACAAUAAUAUAGUCAAAAUUAAAUGCAUAAAACUAAAAAAUUAGAGUGCGAAAAUAAUAUAAUUGAUUCUGAUUUAAGUAAAUAGAGGGUGCUACCUCAUUGCAGAUAAAAGAUAAUAUAGAUGACGAUAAAAGUAAUCAAUUCUGUUAGUAUCCAUGAGUGCCUCUUCCAGUGAUAGCGUUGGAUCAUUGACUUCAUUCAUACCUAUGAUUUAAAUUUAUUAGAAUUUUCAAAUUUUAGUUUAUUAGACACUGAAAAAAGGAUAAUGAUUCAUAAUAAAAGAAUGUAAUAUAAAUAUUACCAUUUUCUGUUAUGAUAAUCGUAGGAUUGUUAUACUUUUCCUUUGUGUACAACAGUAGGUCCUGAAUACCCUUUGGACAAACAUAUAACCAAGUUGCAGCCUGCACAUAUUGUUUAGUUAUUAUUCUAUCAAUCAAAUAAGAUGUAACAAUAAUCUCAAGAGAGUCUUACUCACCCAUGCUCCAAUGUAUGUCCCAUCUUUAUUCUUAUCUGUCAUGAAUCAUACCAGAAAACAAUUUAUGUCAAACAAGGAAUCAUAGCAAAAAUUGAUUUUUCUAUUAAUGAUUUAUGCCAUCUUCAUUAGGAGUGGUGUGAAAGGUGUUCUUACCUGUUAAAGUCACAUUAACAAUUUUGAAAACACUAUUGACGCCGUCAGCGCCGCCCGAUGGAGACUGUAUAGGAAUUGGUUUCGUUGCAUUGGCAGCAUACAUGCUGGUGUAGUAAUUGAUUCCAAUAAAAUCAUAUGACCCAAUAAGACUCUUAGAUUGCUCUGCAGUGAACUUUGGUAGCUUAUCUCCCACAUAAGACACCAAGCUUGCUGGAUACUCUCCUGUUGUCAGUGGCUGUAUAAACCUGCAAACAGAUAAAGAAGAUUUUAAAUUAUACGGUCACAAUUUUGUCGCGAUCCAUGGUUGUUGUAGAAACGGUCAAAAAGUAUAGUUGUUACCAUCCAAACAUGAAAUCAAGGGCGUCUUCAGCGGCUUUUUGAUCUAAUGGGUCAGUUGAGUAUGGUUUAAACCAGUGAGAGUUUAAUCCAAUGCCUAUUACACCAUUUUGAGCCUGAUAUGUGGUUUUAUACAAUUCGAAAACAUCUGCAUGAGCAAGAAGUUGGUUGUGUGUGGACUUGUACCAAUCUGAUGUACUCAAAGUGUAAGAGAAUGGCUCAUUAAAAGUAACCCAAUGCUUUACACUGUCUCCAAAUUCCUUGAAGCAUAUAUCCACAAAGUCCUUAAAAUCUUUUCUGCAUAUAGAAAUUAAACAAUCAACUAUGGGAAUAAAAAAAAUGUUAUAAUGCUCUAUCCUCAAUUUAUUAUUUCUUGAAUGAGUGAGUGGUGUGUGUGGAGAUCAUUCUAAUCUCAGUACAUAAAGUUCUGAAGUAUCCAAAACAUUCUAAUCUUUCUCGCAAUUCUGUAUGUGCAUUUUCUAUCAAAUUUGUGUCACGAUACUUACCUAAUAUUCUCGCUGACAAAGCCUCCAUAAUCAUCUUGUAAGGCCUGGGGAAGAUCCCAAUGAAAAAGGGUCACAUAUGGUAUUUGACCUGGAUCAAUAAUUCCAUCAAUUUAUAUUAUUAUGAGUAUGAACAUCAUGAAUAUGAUAUACUAAUAAAGUAUGGAAUAUUAUGCAUUACCAUUAGCAAGUAGCUCAUAGAUCAGGUUCUUGUAAAAUAUGAUUCCUGCUUGGUUUACACCGUCACUUAUUUUUCCAGCUGCAUAUUUGUUAGAGUUGUUAGUGUAUAUGGAAAAUACAACUAGUUGAAACUCAUUAAUGAUGUAACCAAAUUAAACAUUUUCUAUUACUUGGAACUAUCCUUGGCCAAGAUAUGGAGAAUCUGUAUGCAUCUGUAUUCAUAUUCUUCAUGAUUUGAACAUCUUCCUGUUAAGAUGUAACAAUGGUUAACACAUAUACUAGACAAAAAAAUUAGAGAUUCAUAAAGUAAAAUCUAUAAUUGAUGUUGAAUUCUUAAACAUCAAUGAUGUAACAUUAUAUCUCUUGCAUGUUCCUCAAUGCAAUAGUUUUUUGAACUAGUAACAUUAUUACAAUGAUGUGAAAUUUACAAGAACAAGGGAAUGUCGUAAGUCUUGAUACUUGGAAACCGGUAAUACAUGCUUUGGAAAAAGGGCUUGGUGGGUGGAGCAAUCGGUUUGUGAGUUUUGGGGGGGGGGGGGGGGGUGUGACUUCAAAUUGUGUGUGGUGCCUGGGUAUUCAAGAGGUGGAGGAACACUUAUUUUGUAGAUAUAGAUUUGUUGGAAGGAUUUUGUAUGCAAUUUUUAAAUGGAUUGGAGCAGGGAUGAUUUUACCGUUAAUAUUGUUUCACUCCUUUAAUAUUUUUCAUCAUAUUCUUUGGGGAAAAAAAACAUCGAAAAGGGCUUACUCUCAUUUGACAUGCAACAAUUUAGCAAAUUUCGGAAGCUCGGGAUGAAAUAAUUUAGCAAAGAAAAAUUAUAGAUUUAAUUCAUAUGCACUAAUAGUAUACAUUUUUUUUACAUUGUCAAUCUAUUAUAACCUUUUCAUCACUAAAUAUAACCUUUUGAUCACUAAAAUUAUUUGAUGUACAGUUACAAUUUGUAUCAAUUAAUCUGAAAUUAUAUAUCACAUUAGAGGUACCUUAUAACGAUGAUAGUGAUCAAUAGCUACAUCUGCAUUCUUUCCAUCCUUUACCAUCCCUGUAUGCAGUUACACCAAUUACCACAUUAGAAGAAAAAUAUGAUUCCAGCCAUUAGCCACAUGGAGUGGCAUUAGAGUUAUCAAAUUAAUUAUAUAUAUAUAUAUAUAUAUAUAUAUAUAUAUAUAUAUAUAUAUAUAUAUAUAUAUAUAUAUUUGUCGUUGUUUCUGUUUCUUUUCUUCAAUAUCUAACAGGAAAUAACUACAACAAAAAUAUUCUAUUAGAAUUCUAAUACAAAAACUUGUGUUGUCAUUAAUAGUUUUUUUUUUACACUAUCGGUAGAAAUUGUGUGUGUUAAGCACGCCUUACAUCUUACGUGUACAAACAUGAAGUCCUAUGACUUGUCUAUAUAUCUUGAGACUUAUUUACAUUCAUCAAAACAUAUAAAUCAUCUGAAAGUUUGGUAACAAAUUAAAGUCUCAUUUCUUGUUCAUGUAGACUGAUUAUAAUUGAGAGUAUGAGUAGCUAAAUAGGGUUGACCAAAUUGAUAAAAAAAAAAUUGAAGGUCUUGGGUUCAACUCUGAACGAGUCCAAAAUUUCCACCACGACACUAUCCAAAUCACACCACUACAACCACCUUGCAAACCAACACCACCUGUGAACCACUACUACCUACCAAUUAGGUGUGGUCAUGAUUUGUAAGGCGCUUGUAGCCUAUCCACUAUCUAGGUUUUUGGCUAGACAAGAUAGUAUCAAUAAAACUAUAAUUAUUGAAGAAAAAAAAAUAUAUGUAUACCUGGUGUAUGGGCAAAUAUAUCCCAUGUACCCUUUCCUCUUCCGUCUUCACUUACAGCACCUUCAUACUACAUUAUCAACACAAAAAUUAUACCGUUGAUAGAUUAACCUCCAAUUCUUUAGAUUCAAUAAUAUAACUCAUACAUAAUCAAUACUCCAUAAUAUAAAUCAGCUACAUCAUUUACUCAAUGAAUCAGAAAAUGAAUUUUUUCUUAUAUUUUAGAUCGGAAGAAGUAUUACUUUCUGUUUCUCUAAAUUUAUGGACUUUCAAGCAUUUUUUUAAGACAUGUUUUUUCUUUGGCCAAUCUUAUAGCAUUAGGAAUUAAACAUAUUAUUUUUGGUGCACGACUGUUACAAAAAGCAAAAGCAUACAUUAAAUAUGCAUGAAUUUUAUUUUUAGUAGUACUUCAUAUUUUUGUCCAAAUUGAAAAAGAUCAAAAGAACGAAGAUGGAGAGAGAUAUGUCUUAGCCUUUACUACUAGAAAAAGCAAAAUUAGCGAGGGAAAUUAAUGACGGAAAAAAUGAAAUUCCUCACAAAUUUCUUGAUCGUAAAAUUUAGUGACGAAAUUAGAGAGAGAUUUUACAUUUUCCCUCACUAAAUUUAGUUCUUUUAGUAGUGCUUUAUGGUAAUCUAAUAAAAAUGUGAAGCAAUGAUUAUGCAUAUUUCCACAUGCAUAGUAACAUACACACAAUGUUACAAAACGUACCUGGUAAUUGGAGGAGCCAGUACCAAAAACAAAACCUUCCGGAAAACUGCUCCGAUUUAGCUCAAAACUAUCAGCAUACGUAGAGACAAUAACAGGUUCUGCCCCUAAAAUAAACAUUAAAGAAAUUAUUAUGAGAAAAAAAAUCUUUUUAUAAUGUUAAUAAUAAUAUUUUAUUGUCAUUUUUUAAUUGAAUUUUAUCGUUCUUGGUUUUGUCAAUGUUGGUAACUAAAUCAGUCCCUAAAGAAAUCCUCUUGUUCGCUUUUUGUAACUUUUUUUCUCCCCCUUUCUUUGUUUUCUUUAUUUUUGCCUUUUUAAGAGGGUUCUAAUAAAAAGAGGCAAUGAAUCCUACAAAUCGGUAUUGUGAACAAUGUUACCAUGAUUAGUACCUUUGUCCACACAACCAUGACCUUUCCCCGAAAACAAGAAUGAAAUAAUAGAUUCAACCAUAAACAUCAAAUGUGGUCGAUGAGUAUCACAUAGAUUCUUGAACGCAAUUCUAGAUUAUGAAUUGUCCAUUCCCCUAAUGUUACAAUAGAGAAACUUCUUUGAGAAGAAUUUGAAGGUGGACCCUUAGAAAACUCCAUUGAGGAGAAUUUUGGUCUAACUAUUUAAUCUCUAAGAUUGCUAAAAUAAAAACUUUUAGUCAUCAUAUAUUCCAAAAAGAAAAAAUAUAUUUAAGGCAAAUCAAAAUUACGCAACAUGAAAUACAAAUACAAAUAAUUACAAAUCACCUGAUUGCACCGUACUUGACGAUAUUUCCGAAUGUGGUCUCUUUCUCUUUGGAGGGGGUGGUCUG